AAAAUCAUUUAGACACUUGUCGAUUUGUUUCAGUUGAAAUGAAGUCAAUGAUUUUUCUCGCUUGUGCUUUGUGUGUGGUCGUUUUUCCACAUGCAUUAGCGAAAAACUAUUACAUGGCAACACAAAGUGUGAAUUGGUUUGGUGCAGUGGAAUAUUGCACCUCAAUAGGUAUGCGAUUGGCGACUGUUUCAUCGCAGCUUGAGCAAAAUUCUUUAGAAGUUGUGUUAGCUAAUAGCGGAGGGGCGCCAGGUCAUGUCUGGAUUGGCGCU
Dalotia coriaria is the source of this 269-nucleotide long non-coding RNA. RefSeq lists it as uncharacterized. NCBI's taxonomy places the organism in Eukaryota, Metazoa, Arthropoda, Insecta, Coleoptera, Staphylinidae. The record is from RefSeq and is a predicted model, not a curated record. The transcript has 3 exons.